AGAUUGAACGCUGGCGGCAUGCCUUACACAUGCAAGUCGAACGGCAGCACGGGAGCAAUCCUGGUGGCGAGUGGCGAACGGGUGAGUAAUAUAUCGGAACGUGCCCAGUAAUGGGGGAUAGCCCGGCGAAAGCCGGAUUAAUACCGCAUACGACCUACGGGUGAAAGCGGGGGAUCGCAAGACCUCGCGUUAUUGGAGCGGCCGAUAUCAGAUUAGCUUGUUGGCGGGGUAAAAGCCCACCAAGGCGACGAUCUGUAGCUGGUCUGAGAGGACGACCAGCCACACUGGGACUGAGACACGGCCCAGACUCCUACGGGAGGCAGCAGUGGGGAAUUUGGACAAUGGGCGCAAGCCUGAUCCAGCCAUGCCGCGUGUGGGAAGAAGGCCGUUCGGGUUGUAAACCGACUUUUGUCAGGAGAAACGGACCUUACUAAUAAUUAGAGGCUAAGUGACGGUACCUGAAGAAUAAGCACCGGCUAACUACGUAGCCAGCAGCCGACGGUAAUCUAG
RNAcentral lists this ribosomal RNA (510 nucleotides) under uncultured soil bacterium. Its description in RNAcentral is "bacterial SSU rRNA". It matches the Rfam family "Bacterial small subunit ribosomal RNA", at positions 26 to 530 of the family's 1533-position model. The record is from RNAcentral.